CUACGGGGUGCAGCAGUGGGGAAUCUUGUGCAAUGGGCGAAAGCCUGACACAGCAACGCCGCGUGCGGGAAGAAGGCCUUCGGGUCGUAAACCGCUUUCAGCAGGAACGAAAAUGACGGUACCUGCAGAAGAAGGUGCGGCCGACUACGUGCCAGCAGCCGCGGUGACACGUAGGCACCAAGCGUUGUCCGGAUUUAUUGGGCGUAAAGAGCUCGUAGGCGGUUCAGCAAGUCGGGUGUGAAAACUCUGGGCUUAACCCAGAGCCUGCACCCGAAACUGCUGUGACUAGAGUUCGGUAGGGGAGCGGGGAAUUCCUGGUGUAGCGGUGAAAUGCGCAGAUAUCAGGAGGAACACCGGUGGCGAAGGCGCCGCUCUGGGCCGAAACUGACGCUGAGGAGCGAAAGCGUGGGUAGCAAACAGGAUUAGAUACCCCAGUAGUC
RNAcentral lists this ribosomal RNA (440 nucleotides) under uncultured bacterium. RNAcentral describes it as "partial 16S ribosomal RNA". It matches the Rfam family "Bacterial small subunit ribosomal RNA", at positions 339 to 795 of the family's 1533-position model. The record is from RNAcentral.